AUGUCGGCCUUGGUUGUCCGGUCUGGGAAAAGGAAAAGUAGGACUGAAUGCAUAAGUUAUGGACUGAUGGACGAGACAGAUAGGGUGAGAAGACAGUAUUUUGAGGACAAAAUAUGGAAGGAUGAUGCAACUUGUUUGAACAUGCUUAGGCUUGGAAGAGGACCUUUCUUCCGGUUCUGUCGACUUUUAAGGGACCGCAGGUUGCUCCAAGACACGAUUCAUAUGUCUGUUGAGCAGCAAGUUGGCACGUUCUUGCACACCGUUGGACACAACAUUAGGGAUACGCCAGCUGGUGACAACUUUCGUAUAACCGGUGAAGUUGUUAGUCGUUAUUUCAAAAAAGUCAUCCGUGCCAUUGGAGAGCUGCGCCAUGACCUUAUUAGGGAACCCUUGUUAGCGACCCCAACCAAAAUAGAAGGGAAUCACCAGUGGGAUCCAUACUUUAAGGAUUGUGUUGGAGUUAUUGAUGGUACACAUGUACGAGCCUCUGUUACAGAGGACAUGGAGCCUCGCUGUCGUGGUAGAAAGACCCAUGCCACUCAAAAUGUGAUGGCGGCUGUUGAUUUUGAUCUUCGGUUCACAUUUGUGUUGGCUGGUUGGGAGGGGUCAGCACAUGAUACUCAAGUUUUACGUGAUGCCUUAGAACGUGAAAAUGGUCUACGUGUUCCACAAGGAAAAUUCUAUCUCGUUGGUGCUGGACAUGGAGCCAAACCAGGGUUCUUGCCUCCUUUUCGUGGUGUGAGGUGCCAUUUAAAUGAGUGGGGGCACAAUCUUGUUCAAGAUGAGAAGGAAUUGUUUAACCACAGACAUUUUUCUCUUCGUACGACUGUAAAGCGUGCAUCUGGGUCACUCAAGGGGAGAUUCAAAAUCCUUGAUGAGGCCAAGCCAUUUUUCUCCUAUCCUACUCAAGUAGAUAUUGUUAUAGCUUGUUGCACUGUUCACAACUGGGUUAUAAAUGAUGGGAUAGAUAAAUUUAUCAUACCUGAGACUGAAUGUGUUGCCAAUAUUAACCAUGCUCCAAUGACAAAUGCCCAACCAAAUGGACUUGCAAACAUGGUUAGUUUUCGGCAGGGAAUCGCCAAUCAAAUGUGGGAAGACCGACAAAACUACUUGCAGCACAGUACCCAUCUUCAGUUUCCAUUGUAA
This 1146-nucleotide ribosomal RNA is filed under the name Triticum aestivum (bread wheat). RNAcentral's name for it is "partial small subunit ribosomal RNA". The record is from RNAcentral. Lineage: Eukaryota; Viridiplantae; Streptophyta; Magnoliopsida; Poales; Poaceae.